AACAGGAUUAGAUACCCUGGUAGCCCUCGCCGUAAACGAUGAGUGCUAAGUGUUAGAGGGUUUCCGCCCUUUAGUGCUGCAGCUAACGCAUUAAGCACUCCGCCUGGGGAGUACGGUCGCAAGACUGAAACUCAAAGGAAUUGACGGGGGCCCGCACAAGCGGUGGAGCAUGUGGUUUAAUUCGAAGCAACGCGAAGAACCUUACCAGGUCUUGACAUCCUCUGACAACUCUAGAGAUAGAGCGUUCCCCUUCGGGGGACAGAGUGACAGGUGGUGCAUGGUUGUCGUCAGCUCGUGUCGUGAGAUGUUGGGUUAAGUCCCGCAACGAGCGCAACCCUUGAUCUUAGUUGCCAGCAUUCAGUUGGGCACUCUAAGGUGACUGCCGGUGACAAACCGGAGGAAGGUGGGGAUGACGUCAAAUCAUCAUGCCCCUUAUGACCUGGGCUACACACGUGCUACAAUGGAUGGUACAAAGGGCUGCAAGACCGCGAGGUCAAGCCAAUCCCAUAAAACCAUUCUCAGUUCGGAUUGUAGGCUGCAACUCCCCUACAUGAAGCUGGAAUCGCUAGUAAUCGCGGAUUAACAUGCCGCGGUGAAUAC
This 600-nucleotide ribosomal RNA is filed under the name uncultured bacterium. Its description in RNAcentral is "bacterial SSU rRNA". It matches the Rfam family "Bacterial small subunit ribosomal RNA", at positions 771 to 1369 of the family's 1533-position model. The record is from RNAcentral.